UACGAGAGGCCCAAACGUUCUUCGGAUUUACUGGGCUUAAAGAGUUCGUAGGCGGCUUGGAAAGUGGGGUGUGAAAGCCCUCGGCUUAACCGAGGAAUUGCGCUCCAAACUACCGAGCUUGAGUAGGCUAGAGGUGAGCAGAACUGAUGGUGGAGCGGUGAAAUGCGUAGAUAUCUGGAGGAACACCGGGGGCGAAGGCGGCAUCCUGGACCAACACCGACGCUGAGUGAGCGAAAGCCAGGGGAGCAAACGGG
This 254-nucleotide ribosomal RNA is filed under the name uncultured bacterium. RNAcentral's name for it is "partial 16S ribosomal RNA". It matches the Rfam family "Bacterial small subunit ribosomal RNA", at positions 524 to 776 of the family's 1533-position model. The record is from RNAcentral.